This 345-nucleotide unclassified non-coding RNA is filed under the name soil metagenome. RNAcentral's name for it is "partial contains 5.8S ribosomal RNA, internal transcribed spacer 2, and large subunit ribosomal RNA". The stretch from base 1 to 120 matches the Rfam family "5.8S ribosomal RNA", at positions 35 to 154 of the family's 154-position model. The record is from RNAcentral.
GAUGAAGAACGCAGCGAAAUGCGAUAAGUAAUGCGAAUUGCAGAAUUCAGUGAGUCAUCGAAUCUUUGAACGCACAUUGCGCCCUGUGGUAUUCCGCAGGGCAUGCCUGUUCGAGCGUCAUUGCUGCCCUCAAGCACGGCUUGUGUGUUGGGCCUCCGUCCUCCUCCCGGGGGACGGGCCCGAAAGGCAGCGGCGGCACCGCGUCCGGUCCUCGAGCGUAUGGGGCUUCGUCACCCGCUCUUGUAGGCCCGGCCGGCGCUUGCCGACACAUCAAUCUUUUUUCCAGGUUGACCUCGGAUCAGGUAGGGAUACCCGCUGAACUUAAGCAUAUCAAUAAGCGGAGGA